CUAGUUUGCUGCUAGCAGCUGAGGAGGUAACAUCUGGCUGAGCUUCUGCUGGGAGCAUCCUGGAGAAAGUAGCUGCUUGACUAUUUUGUAAUGCUUCCAGCUUGACACAAGUGAAUGAACUUUGUAUGCCCGGGGCAUGAGAGAGGUAUGGGCAAGAGGUGAGUGAAGAACGAAUGGGAGUUUUGGCAUGAGAAAAAGGAGAGAGGAUGUAACUGUUUAUGUAAGCAACAAGGCGCCAGGUGUGUAAAUUACCAGCCAGUAACUAACUAACAAACAGUUGAAGAAUCCCUUUGAAGCUCGAGGGCACAAAGGAGAUCACAAAAGAAGAAAUGCUGCCAUGUGGGCAACAAGAACACUUCAAGACUGAGACCCAUUUUUACAACUAAAGUGACCCCAAUUUAAGAUGAGAGGAAGAUGGAUGUGAAACAGCUGCUAAAACACAGACUAAGCAUGGAAAAACCUCAAGAAGCAAAACAAGGACUGGCAAACCUUAUAAAAACAGGACCCAAAUGAUGCUAAGCAGGUGAAAUCUUCUGUCUUCCUUUCUGGAGCAGAUGCAUCUGCUUUUCAUCUUGCUCCAGCUACUGUCUUUCACCACAAUCAUCAGCUUCAGCUACUUGGUGAACACAGGGUUGGCCACCCUGUGUUAGCAUGGAGCAACUAUUGCUGGAUGAAUGCCUGACUUGGGAUUUUCCUCUGAACAUGAGAAACCUGGGUGCUUUAGAGCCACAUCUUGGCUGCUGAUGAGCAGAAGCAUGAAAAUCAUUUAGCUCCUUCACAGCCUUUUCUGCACUGGAAGUGCUGAAGAGAAUUGUCCUAUUAACCUUUCCUCUACCCAGUCUCAACAUGACAAUCCAAUUGACAGAUUAGGCCAAAGUUUCCAAAAGUAGCCAGGUAACUUAGGUCCUAAGUGUCCAAUCUUCUUUGAAAAGAGCAUUUGGGUACUUCUGAGCAUGUUAAUUAACCUGACUACAAUAUCCUUCUAGAAGGUCACUUCCAUUUUCUAGCUUUAAGAAAUACAUAUAUUUCUUGCUUUGAGUACUCUUCCAGACUUGUCAUGUUUUUCAGGCAGUGUCCCAGAUUUGGAAUCCAAUUCCUUCAGGUCCACUCCACUGAGAAGUCAUUUAAAUGUUUUUAUAGAUUUCAAUCCACAUGCUCCUUCUUUUUAUAACUCUCUAUUCAUUCAAGCUGUCAGAAGUAAAAACCAAUACAAUGAUAACAAAUGGAGGACAAUUGUGGUUCUGUUAUUCUAAACCUUUCCAGUACAGAAAAACUCUUAGGGACAAAUUAAGGCAAAAUCCUUAGGCUCUCUGAGUACUCUCAAGGACCCCAAAAAGGCAGCAUGUCAUUGCAAAACUUAUGGCCACAUCCACAGCUGGUAUAGAUGUGCAAUGCUCCAUGAAUUUCACUGGUCCUAUGCUGAUUUAGAUCAGCUACAGCUCAGACCUCCAAGAAUCUACGUAGGGCAGAGGGGAAAAACAAGUAUGUUAAAUGAAAAAGAAUAUGGGCUGAGGAAGUAUCGGAUAAUCGCAAGAGGGUCAAGAUCAAGUCGUACAGCCCCAUUUAGGUUUUUAUUCAGUUUAGAAGUACUCCAUAGAAGUCCAUGGAAAGUCUCAUACAGAGGAAAAAAUCUGUAUUGACCAAGGCAUGCAGGUGAUUAAAGAUAUGCACAAGGAUGGGUUAAGAAAGGCAAGCCACAUCUUUAUUAUCUUAAUGUACCAGGCAUUUGAAUGUGUCAAAUGUGAGGGUUCCAGUGCUUGAAUCUUCAUAACCCAUAAUUCAGGCUAGGCUUUUGUCAUGAACUCCCCAGAAAAGCUCUGGUCAGGGACCCCAACCCCCUGCCUUAACACAGCCACUCUUAGCACCUUUAAAUCCAGCCCAGGCACAGCAGCUUCUAGGCUAGAUGAGCUGCUGGCUCCUUGGGCUCUGAGGUUGGGCCUUUCGGUCUGUAUACAUUCUCACUACAUGGCCUCACAGUGAGCUAUGCUUUGGUUCAGCUUCUGGAGAAGUAUCUUACCUCUUUAAAAGGGAUGAAGUGCACCCAAGGACAUAUACAGCAAAGCUGAUAGUCCUUCUUGGAUAUAAACAUUGUUAACUGCAAUACAGCAGACAGAAUCUUUGUGUCAUAGCACCUAGGCCAAACUCAGCCUCUGCCCCUUUCCUUAUGUCUCUGGGAUCUUUUUCAAACCAGCUGGACCUUCUUGAGGCCUCCUCUGGGCACCAGAGAUAGCAAUGUGUCUUCAGGGCCUGAGCUUGAUGGUGCUCAGGUGUGUCUUCAUCUUACAAAUUAGUUCCCUAUGUUCUUGAAGACUCCUUCCCUAGUAGCUGACACACUUAGUAUGAAGCCCCACUUUCUCUCCCAGGUCUGAUUCAGGACAAGAAUUACAUUCUUUCUUAGGGCAUAACAGUGUACAAGAAAGUAAUGGAAAUGAAGGCAUGUAACAUUAUUGUAAAUAUACAUGCAUUGAACCCAGGCAUGUUACAAAAUAGCACCUAGCCCAUCACAAAUUUCCUUGGUCCGUGUGUAGAUUUCAGCAUCAAGCUGCGAGUCCCCCAUACAAAAGGGGGACUGCAGUUAUAAAGAAUUCAAGGUCCCCCCCCCCACUUCUUCCAUACACAGAUGGUCCACUCAUGUAACCCCAUGAUUCCUAUUUUCUUGGACCUUUUAUCUGUACUGGCCACAUGUUACAAGGAAUUAAAUAGUCCUAUUAACUACUGAAUAUUAAUUUAUAUGUCCUGUACUUAUUAACCUAACUGAUGAUGCUUUGAGGAAAGAGAAAAUAACCCACCAGGCCUCUGCCAAUUUGACAGAAAUGGGAAAUAUUAUUUCCUGGCCCAUCAAAUGGGCAAUAAGUCCAACUCACCUUUCCUAUACUAAACCUAAAGGGAUGGGGGUAGAGCUUGAAAUAGCCAAUGUUUUAAAUUAAUGAGGGGUCAGGGGCCAAUCAGUUUCCUUCUCCCCCUUCCUGCUAGCCAGUAGGACAAAGACAGAGGAGGGACCUAUUGUAUCUUCCUUUGCAUGCAUGCCCUAUCUCCAUCAUGUUCAUCGCCCACAAUUAAGCCUCACACCCAGUGACAUGGGUGGGUGAUACUUAUGCCCUUGCUUACAGAAGAGGGUGAAGGGCAGAUGCUCCUCAUAUUAGGAGGGAAUGGUUCUCACCCAGGGAAGGUGGGCAUCACAGGCUAUGCUGCUUAUCUUAGACAUACACAUUUUCUUCCUCUACCCUUUCAUUCUGCUGCACCCUCUGAAUAUUUUAUCUACAAUCUUGCAUAUUCAGCUUUUUCCUGUCACCAUUCAGCUCCACCCUGUCCUUAAUCCAUUACCCUUCUACUAAAAGACUCUUCAUUGGUAGUGGAUCCUGUUAAGGGAUGGUAUGCUUGUGUUGAAUGAACCAUUCCUGAUUUGAAUCACUCAUUACAGAAGGAGGUGGAGCAUUGUUUACUUGGUUUGUAUAUUGAACAACAUCACACACAUUAGAACGAGACCUCAGCUGUGUCUCUGUCCCUGAUUAGGUGCACGUUACUGAGGGGAAAAACAAAUUAAUGAACAAUGAUGCUAAUUUUGUAUUAAAUUUGAAAAGCCUUGAAAAAUGAAAAGCCUUGUAUUAGAUUUUAAAAUUGCUAUGCAUAUCUUCAGGGAAUUUUUAAAGCAAGGUCUCACACUAUUGUACAGCUAGAGUCUAUCAGUAAUACACC
Long non-coding RNA from Alligator mississippiensis (American alligator), 3696 nucleotides. RefSeq lists it as uncharacterized. NCBI's taxonomy places the organism in Eukaryota, Metazoa, Chordata, Crocodylia, Alligatoridae. The record is from RefSeq and is a predicted model, not a curated record. The transcript has 3 exons.